Molecule: long non-coding RNA, 1001 nt
Filed under: Glycine max (soybean)
Lineage: Eukaryota; Viridiplantae; Streptophyta; Magnoliopsida; Fabales; Fabaceae
Description: long non-coding RNA (GMAX_LNC003017)
Source: RNAcentral
AGCCACCUCCUUAUUAUUCUCCGACACCUCCAAACACUCCUUACGUUCCAAUUACUCCUCCAAAAGCACCUUAUCAUCCAAAUCCACCUUAUGUUCCAACCCCUCCAAACACUCCUUAUGUUCCAAUUACUCCUCCGAGAGCACCUUAUGUUCCAGCACCUCCUCAAACUCCAACUGUUCCAACUCCUCCAGAAACUCCUUAUCAUCCACCCUAUGUUCCAAUACCUCCUCCUAAAACACCUUCACCUAUUUCCAGUCCUCCCUAUGUUCAUCCAAAACCACCUUCACCUAUUCAUUAUCCACCUAAUGUUCCAACACCUCCAAAAACUCCUUCCCCUGUAUACACUCCUCCCAAUGUUCCCACUCAAGCACCUUCACCUGCUAAUCAUCCUCCAUAUAUUCCAACUCCUCCACAAACUCCUUCCCCAGUUUAUACUCCUCCUAAUUUUCCAACGCCUCCAAAAAUACCCUCUCCUGUGUACACUCCCCCAAAAGCUCCUUCCCCUAGUAACAAUCCACCCUAUGUUCCUACACCUCCAAAAACACCUUCUCCUUCUUAUAAUCCUCCUAAUGUUCCCACUCCUCCCAAAACACCUUCACCUAUUUACACUCCACCAAAUGUUCCUACUCCUCCAAAAACACCAUCUCCUGCUUAUAGUCCUCCAAAUGCUCCUUCCCCUCAUAACCAACCAAAUGUUCCUACUCCUCCAAAAACACCAUCUCCUGCUUAUAGUCCUCCAAAUGCUCCUUCCCCUCAUAACCAACCUCCCUAUGUUCCUACACCUCCAAAAACACCUUCUCCUUCUUAUAAUCCUCCUAAUGUUCCCACUCCUCCCAAAACACCUUCACCUAUUUACACUCCACCAAAUGUUCCUACUCCUCCAAAAACACCAUCUCCUGCUUAUAGUCCUCCAAAUGCUCCUUCCCCUCAUAACCAACCUCCCUAUGUUCCUACACCUCCAAAAACACCUUCUCCUUCUUAUAAUCCUCCUAAUGUUNNN